This 785-nucleotide ribosomal RNA is filed under the name uncultured bacterium. RNAcentral's name for it is "bacterial SSU rRNA". It matches the Rfam family "Bacterial small subunit ribosomal RNA", at positions 94 to 881 of the family's 1533-position model. The record is from RNAcentral.
ACCGGCGCACGGGUGAGUAACACGUAUCCAACCUGCCGAUAACUCGGGGAUAGCCUUUCGAAAGAAAGAUUAAUACCCGAUGGCAUAAUAGAACCGCAUGGUUUGAUUAUUAAAGAAUUUCGGUUAUCGAUGGGGAUGCGUUCCAUUAGGCAGUUGGUGGGGUAACGGCCCACCAAACCUUCGAUGGAUAGGGGUUCUGAGAGGAAGGUCCCCCACAUUGGAACUGAGACACGGUCCAAACUCCUACGGGAGGCAGCAGUGAGGAAUAUUGGUCAAUGGACGAGAGUCUGAACCAGCCAAGUAGCGUGAAGGAUGACUGCCCUAUGGGUUGUAAACUUCUUUUGUAUGGGAAUAAAGUGGUCCACGUGUGGAUUUUUGUAUGUACCAUAUGAAUAAGGAUCGGCUAACUCCGUGCCAGCAGCCGCGGUAAUACGGAGGAUCCGAGCGUUAUCCGGAUUUAUUGGGUUUAAAGGGAGCGUAGGUGGACAGUUAAGUCAGUUGUGAAAGUUUGCGGCUCAACCGUAAAAUUGCAGUUGAUACUGGCUGUCUUGAGUACAGUAGAGGUGGGCGGAAUUCGUGGUGUAGCGGUGAAAUGCUUAGAUAUCACGAAGAACUCCGAUUGCGAAGGCAGCUCACUGGACUGCAACUGACACUGAUGCUCGAAAGUGUGGGUAUCAAACAGGAUUAGAUACCCUGGUAGUCCACACAGUAAACGAUGAAUACUCGCUGUUUGCGAUAUACAGUAAGCGGCCAAGCGAAAGCAUUAAGUAUUCCACCUGGGGAGU